RNAcentral lists this ribosomal RNA (399 nucleotides) under Candidatus Brocadiales bacterium. Its description in RNAcentral is "bacterial SSU rRNA". It matches the Rfam family "Bacterial small subunit ribosomal RNA", at positions 1 to 359 of the family's 1533-position model. Lineage: Bacteria; Pseudomonadati; Planctomycetota; Candidatus Brocadiia; Candidatus Brocadiales. The record is from RNAcentral.
UUUAUGAAGGGUAUGAUCUUGGCUCAGAACGAACGCUGGCGGCGUGGAUUAGGCAUGCAAGUCGAACGAGGGGGUGCCCCGAAAGGGGUACGAACCGAGUGGCGUAAGGGUGAGUAAUGCAUUGAUAACCUACCUUUAAGAUGAGGAUAACAACGCUUCGAGCAAUCGAAGCUACCGAAAGGGUUGCUAAUACUCAAUAAUACUAUUGAUACUUCAGUAUUUAUAGUCAAGAGAUAGGAUUCGUAAGGAUCCUUUCGCUUAAAGAGGGGUCAAUGUCCUAUCAGCUUGUUGGUAGGGUAAAGGCCUACCAAGGCUAAGACGGGUAGCCGGCCUGAGAGGGUGGUCGGCCACACUGGGACUGAGACACUGCCCAGACUCCUACGGGAGGCUGCAGUCGAG